CGAGAUGAUCGGACGGUCGCGCGCUCCAUCGGGGAAACCCGUCGAUAGCGUGAGGAAAGUCCGAGCUCCGCGACGCAGGGUAGCGGGUAACGCCCGUCCGCCGUGAGGCGAGGACCAGUGCCACAGAGACGAGCCGGCAGAUCGGGCAACCGGUCGGGCCGGGUGAAACGCGGCAAACUCUACCUGGAGCAAGGCCAAAUAGGAGGGCGCGUUCGGGACCUCGUCCCGGGCAGGGGUGCGUCGCCCCGCCCUCGGGUCGGCCGCUAGAGGCGGCAGGUGACUGCCGUCCCAGAUGGAUGACCGUCUCCGUCCCUUGGACGGGACAGAACUCGGCUUACAGGUCGUCUCGCUGG
This 353-nucleotide RNase P RNA is filed under the name Chloroflexota bacterium. RNAcentral's name for it is "RNase P RNA component class A". It matches the Rfam family "Bacterial RNase P class A". From Rfam's summary of the family: Ribonuclease P (RNase P) is a ubiquitous endoribonuclease, found in archaea, bacteria and eukarya as well as chloroplasts and mitochondria. Its best characterised activity is the generation of mature 5'-ends of tRNAs by cleaving the 5'-leader elements of precursor-tRNAs. The record is from RNAcentral. Lineage: Bacteria; Bacillati; Chloroflexota.